RNAcentral lists this ribosomal RNA (253 nucleotides) under uncultured bacterium. RNAcentral describes it as "partial 16S ribosomal RNA". It matches the Rfam family "Bacterial small subunit ribosomal RNA", at positions 524 to 776 of the family's 1533-position model. The record is from RNAcentral.
UACGAAGGGGGCUAGCGUUGUUCGGAAUUACUGGGCGUAAAGCGCGUGUAGGCGGGUCUUUAAGUCAGAGGUGAAAUCCUGGAGCUCAACUCCAGAACUGCCUUUGAUACUGGAGAGCUUGAGUCCGGGAGAGGUGAGUGGAACUGCGAGUGUAGAGGUGAAAUUCGUAGAUAUUCGCAAGAACACCAGUGGCGAAGGCGGCUCACUGGCCCGGUACUGACGCUGAGGUGCGAAAGCGUGGGGAGCAAACAGG